This 70-nucleotide non-coding RNA is filed under the name Xenorhabdus koppenhoeferi. Lineage: Bacteria; Pseudomonadati; Pseudomonadota; Gammaproteobacteria; Enterobacterales; Morganellaceae. The record is from RNAcentral.
GAAAGUACGACAUUGCUCACAUUGCUUCCAGUGUUUACUUUAUAAGCCAACUUAAUGUUGGCUUUUUUUU